This 76-nucleotide transfer RNA is filed under the name Nitrospirota bacterium. RNAcentral's name for it is "Nitrospirae bacterium tRNA-Lys". It matches the Rfam family "tRNA". From Rfam's summary of the family: Transfer RNA (tRNA) molecules are approximately 80 nucleotides in length. Their secondary structure includes four short double-helical elements and three loops (D, anti-codon, and T loops). Further hydrogen bonds mediate the characteristic L-shaped molecular structure. tRNAs have two regions of fundamental functional importance: the anti-codon, which is responsible for specific mRNA codon recognition, and the 3' end, to which the tRNAs corresponding amino acid is attached (by aminoacyl-tRNA synthetases). tRNAs cope with the degeneracy of the genetic code in two manners: having more than one tRNA (with a specific anti-codon) for a particular amino acid; and 'wobble' base-pairing, i.e. permitting non-standard base-pairing at the 3rd anti-codon position. Lineage: Bacteria; Pseudomonadati; Nitrospirota. The record is from RNAcentral.
GAGCCGCUAGCUCAGUUGGUAGAGCAUCGCCCUUUUAAGGCGAGGGUCGUAGGUUCGAUCCCUACGCGGCUCACCA